RNAcentral lists this ribosomal RNA (427 nucleotides) under uncultured bacterium. RNAcentral's name for it is "bacterial SSU rRNA". It matches the Rfam family "Bacterial small subunit ribosomal RNA", at positions 355 to 773 of the family's 1533-position model. The record is from RNAcentral.
UGGGGAAUUUUGGACAAUGGGGGCAACCCUGAUCCAGCCAUGCCGCGUGCGGGAAGAAGGCCUUCGGGUUGUAAACCGCUUUUAGCCGGGAAGAAAAGGCGAUUCCUAAUAGGGGUCGUUGUUGACGGUACCGUCGGAAUAAGCACCGGCUAACUACGUGCCAGCAGCCGCGGUAAUACGUAGGGUGCGAGCGUUAAUCGGAAUUACUGGGCGUAAAGGGCGCGUAGGCGGCCACCGCAAGUCGACUGUGAAAUCUCCGGGCUUAACCCGGAAAGGUCAGCCGAUACUGCGGGGCUAGAGUGCAGAAGGGGCAACUGGAAUUCUCGGUGUAGCGGUGAAAUGCGUAGAUAUCGAGAGGAACACCUGCGGCGAAGGCGGGUUGCUGGGCUGACACUGACGCUGAUGCGCGAAAGCUAGGGGAGCGAAC